UUUUUGGGCUUGGUAAUUGGAAUGAGGGAGAGUUAAACGGACCAUCGAGUAUCCAUUGGAGGGCAGGUCUGGUGCCAGCAGCUGCGGUAAUACCAGCUCCAAUAGCGUAUAUUAAAGUUGUUGCAGUUAAAAAGCUCGUAGUUGGACUUGUGUGCGCUGUCCGCGGGUGGCCUGCGCCCAAAAGGGCGUUUCGGUUCGGCCCCGGUGGCGCCUUGAAAUCUGCAGCUGGGGGGACGUUGGCCUUAACUGGUCGGCGACCGCACGCCGGCUGCUCGGUUACUGUGAGAAAAUUAGAGUGUUCAAGGCAGGCAUUGGGUGCAAUUGAAUACAUUAGCAUGGAAUAAUAAAAUAUGGCUCCUGCCGUAUUUUGUUGGUUUUGACUGGUGGGAGUAAUGAUUGAUAGGGACGGUUGGGGGUGCUAGUAUUGAGCGGCCAGAGGUGAAAUUCAUGGAUUCGCUCAAGACUAACUUAUGCGAAAGCAUUCACCAAGGACGUCCUCUUUAAUCAAGAACGAAAGUUGGGGGAUCGAAGACGAUCAGAUACCGUCGUAGUCUCAACCAUAAACUAUGUCGACUUGGGAUCGGCGGUAGUUUUUUCAUUAAGACACUGUCGGGACCACGGGAGAAAUCAAAGUGUCUGGACUCUGGGGGAAGUAUGGUCGCAAGGCUGAAACUUGAAGGAAUUGACGGAAGGGCACCACCAGGAGUGGAGCCUGCGGCUUAAUUUGACCAACACGGGGAAACUUACCAGGUCCAGAGAUGUAGAGGAUUGACAGAUUGAAGCUCUUUCUUGAUCACUUCGGUGGUGGUGCAUGGCCGUUCUUAGUUGGUGGAGUGAUUUGUCUGGUUAAUUCCGUUAACGAACGAGACCUCAGCCUGCUAGUGUAGUCGGCUGGAUUGCCUUUGGCGAUCCGUGAUUUCGACUUCUUAGAGGGACAAUCGACGCGCAGUCGAUGGAAGUUUGAGGCAAUAACAGGUCUGUGAUGCCCUUAGAUGUUCUGGGCCGCACGCGCGCUACACUGCUGGGCUCAGCGAGUUUUACUUGGCCGAGAGGCCCGGUUAAUCUUGUGAAAUCCCAGCGUGCUUGGGCUCGCCUCCUGCAACUGGAGGCGCCAACGAGGAAUUCCUAGUAGACGCAGGUCAUCAACCUGCAUCGAUUACGUCCCUGCCCUUUGUACACACCGCCCGUCGUUCCAUAAGAGUGAGGCAUCCGGUGAAUUCUCGGGAGAGCCUGGGCGUGGCCAGCAAUGGUCUGCUCGGGUUUGAACUUGCAUAAACUUGGUGCCUAUGAUUAGGG
This 1296-nucleotide ribosomal RNA is filed under the name metagenome. RNAcentral describes it as "SSU rRNA". It matches the Rfam family "Eukaryotic small subunit ribosomal RNA", at positions 493 to 1783 of the family's 1831-position model. The record is from RNAcentral.